GGGGAUUUGGUCUAGGGGUAUGAUUUCUCUUUCGCAUAUUGGUCUCCAGCAGAUCAAUCACAUGCAUAGAGACGGUCGUGGGUUCAAUUCCCACAAUCUCCA
Non-coding RNA from Coniochaeta sp. 2T2.1, 102 nucleotides. Lineage: Eukaryota; Fungi; Ascomycota; Sordariomycetes; Coniochaetales; Coniochaetaceae. The record is from the annotation of a GenBank genome assembly.